GAAAUUUCGUGGGUUUUGGAGAGUGUGAUGGAAGUGAAAUUUGGGUUUGAUGGUUUGAUUUUCGUUUGGCUAAAAUUGGUGAAAAAUUGAAAUUUUUGUGAUGAAUGUUAAGAAGAUGAGAAAGUUAAAUGGAAUUUGGUGAUGUCGGUUGGUAUCACUUCCUUUAAGCUUGAAUUUAAUUUUGUUUUUGAUGAAUGUUUUUGUCUGUUUGAAAACUCGUGCACUGUUUGAAUUGUCUUGUUUGAAUGUCAUUGAAAGUUAUGUAGUUUAGCAUCAUAAUACAUGAAUGUGUGAUUCUCUUGUUUGAUUGCUUGUUAUAUUUGAUGAUAGUUAGAAAAGUUGAGGAAGUUUUUCAAACAUUGACCAAUCGAUAAUUCGGCCUAGCCGCGAGAUUUCGUGCCCAAACACAUAAAUUUUCUUGUCAUGAGAUAUUCCACAACUUAGCUAAUUCUCUAGAACUUGCUUAUGUUCUUUUAAUUGAUUGCUUGCUUUGAAUUACACACCGAGGCAUGUUGUUUGUACCUUGAGCCUUAUUGAAGCCACCAUUUUUUAUGUUAUAUCCUUCGUUAACCCCUUUGAGCCGAAAGAAAAAUGUUUUUGUUGAUAACCCAAGUAAAAAAAAAAUUAUAAAAAAAGAAGAAGAUGAUUUUCUUGGAGUUAGAUCACUUAACUUAUGAUUAGAGCACAUUGUUCAUCAUUAAGUUUGGGGUUGCUUUUGGUAUUUGCAACUGAUUAAGUUUGGGGUGGGGUACUAGAGAAUUUCUCAUAUAAAAAAAAAUAGGGAGAGGCAUUACCUUGUGACAGAUGGUGUAUAAAAAAAAAAAGAAACAAAAACAAAACACCAAAUAAAAAAAAUGCUAAUGAACCUCUCUUCGAAAAAAAAUAUAGUUUGACAAAUAAAUUCUCUAGUAUGAUUAUGCUUGAAUUUUUUUUUUUUUUUUUUGGGGGGGGGG
RNAcentral lists this long non-coding RNA (953 nucleotides) under Trifolium pratense (red clover). Its description in RNAcentral is "long non-coding RNA (TPRA_LNC008125)". The record is from RNAcentral. Lineage: Eukaryota; Viridiplantae; Streptophyta; Magnoliopsida; Fabales; Fabaceae.